RNAcentral lists this non-coding RNA (781 nucleotides) under Bombyx mori (domestic silkworm). Lineage: Eukaryota; Metazoa; Arthropoda; Insecta; Lepidoptera; Bombycidae. The record is from RNAcentral.
AAUAAAAUUAUUUAUGGUUUAAAAAUUUAUUAUAAAUUUAUUUUACAUAUAAAUUUUAGUGUUAAUUUUUAAUUUAUUUAAAUAAUAAUUAAUAUUUAUUUGUAGUAAUUAAAAUUAAAAAUUUAAGUAAUUAAGAUUUAGUAAUAUUUAAAUUAAUAACAAAUUUUGUGCCAGCAGUUGCGGUUAUACAAAAAUUAAAUUAAAUUUUUUUAGGAAUUAAUUAAUAAUAGAUUAUAUAAUAAAAUUAAAAUUUAAAUUAUUAAGUGAAAUUUUAAUUUAUGAAAAUUUUAUAUUGAAUUAUGAAUUAAAAAAUUUUAUUAAAAACUAGGAUUAGAUACCCUAUUAUUAAAAAUUUAAAUUAAUAAUACUAAAAUAGUAUAUAAUUAUUUAUAAAAACUUAAAUAAUUUGGCGGUAUUUUAGUUUAUUUAGAGGAAUCUGUUUAUUAAUUGAUAUUCCACGAAUAAAUUUACUUAAUUUAUUUAAUUUUGUAUAUCGUUGUUAAAAAAAUAUUUUAAAAUAAUAAUAAUAUUUUAAUUUUUAUAUUAAAAGUUAAAUCAGAUCAAGAUGCAGAUUAUAAUUAAGAAUAUAAUGGAUUACAAUAAAUUUAUUUAAUUGGAUGUUAUUUUUAAAAAUUAAUUGAAAUUGGAUUUAAAUGUAAUUUUAUUUAAUUUAUUAAAAUGAUUUUAAUUUAAAAUAUGUACAUAUUGCCCGUCGCUUUCAUUAAUAAAUUGAAAUAAGUCGUAACAAAGUAGAGGUACUGGAAAGUGUUUCUAGAAAGAG